UACAGAGGGUGCAAGCGUUAAUCGGAAUUACUGGGCGUAAAGCGUGCGUAGUCGGUUAUCUAAGUCGGAUGUGAAAUCCCCGGGCUCAACCUGGGAAUUGCAUUCGAAACUGAAUAGCUAGAGUUCGGCAGAGGGAAGUGGAAUUUCCGGUGUAGCGGUGAAAUGCGUAGAUAUUGGAAGGAACAUCAGUGGCGAAAGCGACUUCCUGGACCAGAACUGACGAUCAGGCACGAAAGCGUGGGGAGCAAACAGG
RNAcentral lists this ribosomal RNA (253 nucleotides) under uncultured bacterium. RNAcentral's name for it is "partial 16S ribosomal RNA". It matches the Rfam family "Bacterial small subunit ribosomal RNA", at positions 524 to 776 of the family's 1533-position model. The record is from RNAcentral.